Molecule: ribosomal RNA, 531 nt
Filed under: Stenus alienus
Lineage: Eukaryota; Metazoa; Arthropoda; Insecta; Coleoptera; Staphylinidae
Description: partial 16S ribosomal RNA
Source: RNAcentral
CCGGUUUGAACUCAGAUCAUGUAAAAUUUUAAAAGUCGAACAGACUUAAUAUAAAAGCUUCUACACCUUUAAUAAAUUUUAAUCCAACAUCGAGGUCGCAAUCAUUUUUUUUAAUAAGAACUUUAAAAAAAUAUUACGCUGUUAUCCCUAAGGUAAUUUAAUCUUUUAAUCAUAAAAAUGGAUCAAAUAAUCAAAUAUAAUUGUUUUUAUAAAAAAAAAGUUUAAUAUAUUUUUUUAUCACCCCAAUAAAAUAUUUAUAAAAUUAGUUUAUUUUAAAUUUUUAUAAAUAUAAAACUCUAUAGGGUCUUCUCGUCUUUUAAUAAAAUUUAAGCUUUUUAACUUAAAAAUAAAAUUUUAUUUUUAAAAUAGAGACAGAUAAUUUCUCGUAAAUUCAUUCAUUCCAGCUUUCAAUUAAAAAACUAUUGAUUAUGCUACCUUUGUACAGUCAUAAUACUGCAGCCAUUAAAUAAAUCAUUGGGCAGAAUAUACUUUAAAUUAUAUUCAAAAAGAAAUGUUUUUGAUAAACAGGCG